GAUGAACGCUGGCGGCGUGCCUAAUACAUGCAAGUCGAGCGAACAGACGAGGAGCUUUCUCCUCUGACGUUAGCGGCGGACGGGUGAGUAACACGUGGAUAACCUACCUAUAAGACUGGGAUAACUUCGGGAAACCGGAGCUAAUACCGGAUAAUAUAUUGAACCGCAUGGUUCAAUAGUGAAAGACGGUUUUGCUUUCACUUAUAGAUGGAUCCGCGCCGCAUUAGCUAGUUGGUAAGGUAACGGCUUACCCAGGCAACGAUGCGUAGCCGACCUGAGCGGGUGAAUGGCUACCUGGGAACUGAGACACGGCCCAGACUCUUACGGUGGGCAGCAGUAGGGAAUCUUACGCAAUGGGCGAAAGCCUGACGGAGCAACGCCGCGUGAGUGAUGAAGGUCUUCGGAUCGGAAAACUCUGUUAUUAGGGAAGAACAAAUGUGUAAGUACCCAUGCACGUCUUGACGGUACCUAAUCAGAAAGCCACGGCUAACUACGUG
RNAcentral lists this ribosomal RNA (497 nucleotides) under uncultured bacterium. RNAcentral describes it as "partial 16S ribosomal RNA". It matches the Rfam family "Bacterial small subunit ribosomal RNA", at positions 28 to 507 of the family's 1533-position model. The record is from RNAcentral.